CUAUGCUUCCAAGAAAAGCUUCUAGGGUUAAUCGUAUAGGUGCCUGUACCGACAACCGACACAGGUAGGUAGGAAGAGUAUCCUAAGGUGAGCGAGAGAACUAUGGUUAAGGAACUCGGCAAAAUGACCCCGUAACUUCGGGAGAAGGGGUGGUCUAGCGAUAGACCCGCAGUGAAUAGGCCCAGGCAACUGUUUACCAAAAACACAGGUCUCUGCUAACACGUAAGUGGAUGUAUAGGGGCUGACGCCUGCCCAGUGCUGGAAGGUUAAAGAGAUUAGUUAGUAUGACGUAAGUCGAUAAUACGAAGCUUUGAACUGAAGCCCCAGUGAACGGCGGCCGUAACUAUAACGGUCCUAAGGUAGCGAAAUUCCUUGUCAGGUAAGUUCUGACCCGCACGAAAGGCGUAAUGAUCUGGGCACUGUCUCAACCAUAGACUCGGUGAAAUCUUAAUACCUGUGAAAAUGCAGGUUACCCGCGACUGGACGGAAAGACCCCGUGGAGCUUUACUGUAGCUUGAUAUUGGAAUUCGGUAAACUAUGUAGAGCAUAGGUGGGAGACUAUGAGAUUAAGGCGCCAGCCUUAAAGGAGUCACCAUUGGAAUACCACCCUUAGUUUAUUGGAUUUCUAACCUAGGACCAUAAUCUGGUUCAGGGACAGUGUCUGGUGGGCAGUUUGACUGGGGCGGUCGCCUCCUAAAGAGUAACGGAGGCGUUCAAAGGUUCCCUCAGAAUGGUUGGAAAUCAUUCAAAGAGCAUAAAGGUAUAAAGGGAGCUUGACUGCAAGACCUACAAGUCAAGCAGGUGCGAAAGCAGGACUUAGUGAUCAGGCGAUUCAGAAUGGAAUGGUCGUCGCUUAACGGAUAAAAGUUACCCCGGGGAUAACAGGCUGAUACCACCCAAUAGUUCACAUAGACGGUGGUGUUUGGCACCUCGAUGUCGGCUCGUCAUAUCCUGGAGGUGGAGUCGCUUCCAAGGGUUGGGCUGUUCGCCCAUUAAAAUGGCACGCGAGCUGGGUUCAGAACGUCGUGAGACAGUUCGGUCCCUAUCCGUCGUGGGCGCAGGAAAAUUGAGGAGAGCUAUCCUUAGUACGAGAGGACCGGGAUGGACCUACCUCUGGUGUAUCUGUUGUCACGCCAGUGGCAGUGCAGAGUAGCUAUGUAGGGAAGGGAUAAACGCUGAAAGCAUCUAAGCGUGAAGCCCUCUCCAAGAUGAGUUUUCCCAUUGUUUAACAAGUAAAAUCCCAGAAAGACUAACUGGUAGAUAGGCUAGAAGUGGAAGUGUAGUGAUACAUUGAGCGGACUAGUACUAAUAGAUUGAGGAUUUAAUCCC
Molecule: ribosomal RNA, 1329 nt
Filed under: human gut metagenome
Description: bacterial LSU rRNA
Rfam family: Bacterial large subunit ribosomal RNA
Source: RNAcentral